Molecule: ribosomal RNA, 497 nt
Filed under: uncultured bacterium
Lineage: Bacteria
Description: partial 16S ribosomal RNA
Rfam family: Bacterial small subunit ribosomal RNA
Source: RNAcentral
GACGAACGCUGGCGGCGUGCCUAAUACAUGCAAGUUGAGCGCUGAAGGUUGGUACUUGUACCAACUGGAUGAGCAGCGAACGGGUGAGUAACGCGUGGGGAAUCUGCCUUUGAGCGGGGGACAACAUUUGGAAACGAAUGCUAAUACCGCAUAAAAACUUUAAACACAAGUUUUAAGUUUGAAAGAUGCAAUUGCAUCACUCAAAGAUGAUCCCGCGUUGUAUUAGCUAGUUGGUGAGGUAAAGGCUCACCAAGGCGAUGAUACAUAGCCGACCUGAGAGGGUGGUCGGCCACAUUGGGACUGAGAAACGGCCCAAACUCCUACGGGAGGCAGCAGUAGGGAAUCUUCGGCAAUGGACGAAAGUCUGACCGAGCAACGCCGCGGGAGGGAAGAAGGUUUUCGGAUCGUAAAACUCUGUUGGUAGAGAAGAACGUUGGUGAGAGUGGAAAGCUCAUCAAGUGACGGUAACUACACAGAAAGGGACGGCUAACUACGUG